GGGGUUGUGGCUCAGCGGUACAGCACUCCCCUCGCAUGUGCGAAACCCUGGGUUUGAUCCUCAGCACCACA
RNAcentral lists this transfer RNA (71 nucleotides) under Marmota monax (woodchuck). Its description in RNAcentral is "tRNA.Ala". Lineage: Eukaryota; Metazoa; Chordata; Mammalia; Rodentia; Sciuridae. The record is from RNAcentral.